AGGUAUUUGAGUAUAUGGGGAUGAAUGGAAUAGAUUCAACGUUGGGGUUACCAGAAAUGUUAAAGGGGGAAGAAUUUCCCCCUUUUCGGAUAACU
Molecule: small RNA, 95 nt
Filed under: Erwinia sp. JUb26
Lineage: Bacteria; Pseudomonadati; Pseudomonadota; Gammaproteobacteria; Enterobacterales; Erwiniaceae
Description: sraA
Rfam family: sraA
Source: RNAcentral